UUGCUAAUGGGGGCGCCCUGACCGCAAUGCCGCGUGAGUGAAGAAGGCCUUCGGGUUGUAAAGCUCUUUUGUCAGGGAAGAAACACCGGCUCUAACACAGUCCGGGAAUGACGGUACCUGAAGAAUAAGCACCGGCUAACUACGUGCCAGCAGCCGCGGUAAUACGUAGGGUGCAAGCGUUAAUCGGAAUUACUGGGCGUAAAGCGUGCGCAGGCGGUUAUACAAGACAGGCGUGAAAUCCCCGGGCUUAACCUGGGAAUGGCGCCUGUGACUGUAUAGCUAGAGUGUGUCAGAGGGGGGUAGAAUUCCACGUGUAGGGGGUGAGGGGGCGUAGAUAUGUGGAGGAAUACCAAUGGCGAAGGCAGCCCCCUGGGAUAACACUGACGCUCAUGCACGAAA
This 399-nucleotide ribosomal RNA is filed under the name uncultured bacterium. RNAcentral's name for it is "bacterial SSU rRNA". It matches the Rfam family "Bacterial small subunit ribosomal RNA", at positions 362 to 758 of the family's 1533-position model. The record is from RNAcentral.